Molecule: small nucleolar RNA, 72 nt
Organism: Engraulis encrasicolus (European anchovy)
Lineage: Eukaryota; Metazoa; Chordata; Actinopteri; Clupeiformes; Engraulidae
Product: small nucleolar RNA SNORD82
Exons: 1
Source: RefSeq, a predicted model, not a curated record
ACCAUCAAUGAUGAUUACAAGGGACUUAAUACUGAAACAUGUGAUGUCACCUUUUAAACUUUUCUGAUGUGG